CAGCAAAAUCACCAGUGUUAAAUUUUCAGGGAUGGUGUUAAAUACACAGUGUUGAUGCUGUUUUAACACUAUCUGGUAAUAAAAUAACACUGCCAUUGCUAGGCCAGUGUUAUAUUCACGACAGUGUCAGUGUAAAACAAGGGUGUUAUCAGAUUUCACUCUGAGCGGUGUAAAUCAAGCCACGCCUCCACUAAACAUAUCCUGUCAGGGAUUUUACCGCCAUUUUCUUUCACAGGAGGACUGAAGAGAUCAGGUAAAUCAGUCUCAUAAUAUUCACAUGGUUUGGCUAAAUUAAACUGUUAUUUCUCUGUCUGACUCUACGCAGCCAUAUGCCAAAAAACCUAAAUAAGAUAUUUUUCCCAUUUUAUUUCCCCUUUGUUCGUUAUUUGGUUCAGUUUAAUCAGAGCUACCUUGUGUUACGUUGUUCCCUUGUUAGUUUAGUAUCAAGUUAAACUGCUAGCUAAAAGUUUAAAACCAAGAAGGAUAAUAUUAACAGGAGAUAUGAACGAAAGAAUUGAACCAUGAUAAAACGCGACAUGCACUACAAAUUGAAGGUAUGAAAUUAAGUUGAAUGAAAGCUCGUUUAUUCACCAUAUGAUGCUCGUUAUGAGGUAAUCAUAUAGGCUAGAUACCGUGAGUUAACGAGGUCGUUUACAUGCACGUGAGUGCAUGGAUAUCGGUUAAUUAUUCAAAUUACUGAAAAACACGGAGAAAACCGCAACCGCAUCGUCAUGUGUUUUUCUAAGAUGUAUGCAAACAGGGGAAAUAUCGCCAAACCAACAAUUAAUUUGACCAAAACCUCACAAUAUAUCAUCAUUUGUAUGCACAGAUUGGAUGCAUUGUGUGUUGUAAGCUUUUCGUGGCGCUAGAUGUCAGACAGAUGCAAAUGGCAAAUACACACGAAAGUGUAAAACGUGUAUGGCGAACAUUUGUUUUUUUCUGUCAUUAUAGAUGCUAGUUUGGUGAAAGUUCACACUGAGUGCUUCAAAUCAUUCAGAAGAGAUGCUGUUUUUAGGGCAGUUUAUUAAAGAAGACCUGACAUGGAUGACUUCCAAUGAGAAACGACUGCUAAUACUUAUAUAAAUUCAUUACAGAAGGACCCUAUCACAUUCCUUAAUCCAGUUUGGAGGAUCAGAGCUUACCAACUAGUUAUAAAUAUGCUGAGGUGAUGUAUUGCAAAAUAGCCAACAUACAACAAUAUGGAUGACCCUCUGUCUGGUCAACAGGAGUUUAAAUAUGGACGGGACAGUGAUGUGGCAGCUCUUCCCUGGCUCAUUCACCUCUUGCCUUUCAUUUGUGAAAGGAAGAAAGAAGAAAGAGGGUCAAUGUGCAACUGAAGCUACUGAUUGUGCUGUGUGAUGAGCAUCAAUCCAUGCUUUGAGGGGAAUGAAUCAGCACAGCCCUGCCUGCACUGCGUUGGGAACAGAAGUUGCAUCCAGAAUUUUUGCAUCAUUCUGGACCAAAAAGCCAUUCCCUCCAUGAUGAAGACCACUGAUGCAGCCUUCCACUACAUCAUGAGUAAAACAACUACAGAACUAAAUACCAGGUUGGAACGUAUUUAAUAAAAAUGAAAUGUCUUUUGAAUUGAAAUGUCUGUUUUGUUAUGGAAAAAUCUUUAGUAUUGUGAAGGA
This is a long non-coding RNA of Paramisgurnus dabryanus, 1631 nucleotides long. RefSeq lists it as uncharacterized. NCBI's taxonomy places the organism in Eukaryota, Metazoa, Chordata, Actinopteri, Cypriniformes, Cobitidae. The record is from RefSeq and is a predicted model, not a curated record.